Molecule: ribosomal RNA, 433 nt
Filed under: uncultured bacterium
Lineage: Bacteria
Description: partial 16S ribosomal RNA
Rfam family: Bacterial small subunit ribosomal RNA
Source: RNAcentral
AAUGAACGCUGGCGGCAGGCCUAACACAUGCAAGUCGAGCGGACCCUUCGGGGUUAGCGGCGGACGGGUGAGUAACGCGUGGGAACGUGCCCUUUGCUUCGGAAUAGCCCUGGGAAACUGGGAGUAAUACCGGAUACGCCCUUUUGGGGAAAGAUUUAUCGGCGAAGGAUCGGCCCGCGUUGGAUUAGGUAGUUGGUGGGGUAAUGGCCUACCAAGCCGACGAUCCAUAGCUGGUUUGAGAGGAUGAUCAGCCACACUGGGACUGAGACACGGCCCAGACUCCUACGGGAGGCAGCAGUGGGGAAUCUUAGACAAUGGGGGAAACCCUGAUCUAGCCAUGCCGCGUGAGCGAUGAAGGCCUUAGGGUUGUAAAGCUCUUUCACCGGGGAAGAUAAUGACGGUACCCGGAGAAGAAGCCCCGGCUAACUCCGUG